Molecule: unclassified non-coding RNA, 299 nt
Filed under: Hevea brasiliensis (rubber tree)
Lineage: Eukaryota; Viridiplantae; Streptophyta; Magnoliopsida; Malpighiales; Euphorbiaceae
Source: RNAcentral
CCCAUAUCUUCUUCACGGCAUCCGUACGAGAGGAUUCAGGAACCCCCAGAAAGUCGCUAAGAGCAGGGGAGAUUGGGGUGGCCUUAAGUAUCCCAGUACGCUUAAGAGGAUCUACCGGUUUUGACUUCCGUUUUUCUGCUGUCUUGGUGGCUCUUGGUUUCGACGCAGCAGUUGUUGUUGUGGAGGCAGCGGACUUCGUUGGGGCUAACAGGGCUCUGCAACCCUUGAAAACCCUAGAUGCUGCUAACGACAUUGUGGGUUUUGCUUUGCUUUGCUUUCCUUUGAGAAAUGAAUGAGUU